UUGAAAAUGAUUUUAUCAUAACGUCGAUCUUGCCGGAUUUAUUCCAACGUAAACAAAACAAAAUAAGGUUGAAAACACGCAUGUAAUAAUUUGUGUCGCAGUACUUGUUAGAUAUUGGAAGUGAUUAAUUUUGCUAUAGUGCUCAAAUCUUUAGUGCCGAGUAAUAUUUACUGUGAAAUAUGAAAAAGAAGUAAAAUUAAGUGCGCCCCUCUGAAAGUGGUAUAUUUUUAGUUAUUUAGCAUUUGCUAAAACAAACCGCCAGGUAAAGAAGAAAGCAUAUUUGGUCGGCGUUAAGUCAUAGUGGACCAAAUACAAAACUUGCGACAUUUGUAUUAUUCUUUCAUUAGAUGCGAAAUUACCUUACCUCCAUAUCACUUUGUUCAGAUUUGAUAAAUGUUCUAAACUGCGAGAGAUAUGUAAGAAAUUUACUGUGGGUGAUCAAUAAAAAUCCAUAAAAGUAUGCAGUCAGAGUGCACCAAGUGCUUAUUACCAUAACAGCGACAAUUAUCAGCGCGCUGAUAAAUGCGAAGAAAUGAAAAACAUUUCAAGUGAUUUGUGAGAUUUUUUCACAUCCAAUUAUUCAUCUUCUCAUCCAUUAAUAGAAAUUCAUAAAUAUUACUUAUUUCGAUGCAUUUGAUUUUGAUUUUUGACCAUUUACUACAUUUGGAUGGGUGGUCAGAUAUUUCGAUUUCAGAGUCCGAUAGAAGCUGUUGGUAGUUUUAUGAGGUCUGAAUGGAAUGUCUUAGAACCCGCGCAUUGGACCUGUAUAUUUUGGCCGGCACUCAAAAUUUUCACUUGGUGCGCUCUGACUGAACGCAUAUUUGAAUAUGUCUGUUCUUCAAGGCCCUGACCAAGGUAUAUUGAAGAAAGGUACAGCAAUCUAAGCAGUCAGUGGAUGCGGGGAGUGGUAAACAGUGAAGGGUGGGAAAUGACAGCUGGUGAGUCGGCAAGCUGGCUGAUUCGUUAAUGUGAUUUUCCCCUCUAGUGGUUGCUAUCGUUUCCAUAGGAUUGUUUUUAUUGAUCGUAGUAGUGCUUUGACAAUGAGAAGCAAAUCUCAAAGCAUUUGCAAACUAACAAUAAACUCCAUAAAGUAGAUAGACUCAGUUUAGAGUUGCUUCCUUCCAGAGGACCGGCUAGGACAACUGCAUUAAAUGGAGGCUGUUACUCGUAGGCAAUGGGCUACGAUAGAAAGAGGGAGUCCGCCGAAAUUUCGCAGCGGUAUGUCAGACCAUCGGCUGAUGAACGGAAUCCCAUGGAUGAGGAGAGCUAUGAAAUUAUUUACACUACCUUCUGCUGACCAUUAUUUUUAUUU
Long non-coding RNA from Aedes aegypti (yellow fever mosquito), 1312 nucleotides. RefSeq lists it as uncharacterized. The record is from RefSeq and is a predicted model, not a curated record. The transcript has 2 exons. NCBI's taxonomy places the organism in Eukaryota, Metazoa, Arthropoda, Insecta, Diptera, Culicidae.